GCCAGCGUGGCAUAGUGGUUUGAGUGUUGGACUAUGACUCUGGAGAUCAGGGUUCGAUUCUCAGCUUGGCC
This 71-nucleotide transfer RNA is filed under the name Phrynosoma platyrhinos (Desert horned lizard). RNAcentral describes it as "tRNA-OTHER". Lineage: Eukaryota; Metazoa; Chordata; Lepidosauria; Squamata; Phrynosomatidae. The record is from RNAcentral.